GGAUCAUUAUUGAAUAAACUUGAUGUGGUUGAGCUGACUCUUUCGGGAGUAUGUGCUCGCUCGUCAUCUUUAUCUUUCCACCUGUGCACUUUUUGUAGAUUUGGAUGUAACUGUCCGAGGCAACUCGGUUGGGAGGAAUGCUAUCUUUGAUGGCUUUCCUUGUAUGUCCAAGUCUAUGUCUUCAUAUACUCCAAGUAUGUAACAGAAUGUAUCACUGGGCCUUGUGCCUAUAAACUAUAUACAACUUUCAGCAACGGAUCUCUUGGCUCUCGCAUCGAUGAAGAACGCAGCGAAAUGCGAUAAGUAAUGUGAAUUGCAGAAUUCAGUGAAUCAUCGAAUCUUUGAACGCACCUUGCGCCCCUUGGUAUUCCGAGGGGCAUGCCUGUUUGAGUGUCAUUAAAUUCUCAACCUUACUAGCUUUUGCGAAGUAAUGGCUUGGACUUGGGGGUCUUUUGCUGGUUUCGAAAGAGAUCUGCUCCCCUUAAAUGUAUUAGCCGGUGCCCCGCGUGGACUGUCUAUUGGUGUGAUAAUUAUCUACGCCGUUAGAUGUCUGCUAUUAAAUGGGAUGUGCUGCUUCUAAUCGUCCUCAGGACAAUUAUUGACCAUUUGACCUCAAAUCAGGUAGGACUACCCGCUGAACUUAAGCAUAUCAAUAAGCGGAGGAAAAGAAACUAACAAGGAUUCCCCUAGUAACUGCGAGUGAAGCGGGAAAAGCUCAAAUUUAAAAGCUGGCAGUCUUUGAUUGUCCGCGUUGUAAUCUAGAGAAGUGUUACCCGCGUUGGACCGUGUACAAGUCUCCUGGAAUGGAGCGUCAUAGAGGGUGACAAUCCCGUCUUUGACACGGACUCCCAAGGCUUUGUGGUGCGCUCUCAAAGAGUCGCGUUGUUUGGGAAUGCAGCGCAAAAUGGGUGGUAAAUUCCAUCUAAAGCUAAAUAUUGGCGAGAGACCGAUAGCGAACAAGUACCGUGAGGGAAAGAUGAAAAGAACUUUGGAAAGAGAGUUAAACAGUACGUGAAAUUGCUGAAAGGGAAACGCUUGAAGUCAGUCGCGUCGUCCGGAGAUCAACCUUGCUUUUGCUGGGCGUACUCUCCGGUUGACGGGCCAGCAUCAGUUUUGACCAUUGGAAAAGGGCAGAGGGAAUGUGGCAUCUUCGGAUGUGUUAUAGCCUUCUGUCGUAUACAGUGGUUGGGACUGAGGAACUCAGCACGCCGCAAGGCGGGGAUUCGUCCACCUUCGUGCUUAGGAUGCUGGCAUAAUGGCUUUAAUCGACCCGUCUUGAAACACGG
Molecule: small RNA, 1286 nt
Filed under: Gymnopilus suberis
Lineage: Eukaryota; Fungi; Basidiomycota; Agaricomycetes; Agaricales; Galerinaceae
Description: eukaryotic LSU rRNA
Rfam family: Eukaryotic large subunit ribosomal RNA (bases 608-1286)
Source: RNAcentral